UACGUAGGGUGCAAGCGUUAAUCGGAAUUACUGGGCGUAAAGCGUGCGCAGGCGGUUUUGUAAGUCAGAUGUGAAAUCCCCGGGCUUAACCUGGGAACUGCGUUUGAAACUACAAGGCUAGAGUGUGGCAGAGGGGGGUGGAAUUCCACGUGUAGCAGUGAAAUGCGUAGAUAUCUGGAGGAAUACCGGUGGCGAAGGCGGCAUCCUGGACCGGCAUUGACGCUGAGGAGCGAAAGCUAGGGGAGCAAACGGG
Molecule: ribosomal RNA, 253 nt
Filed under: uncultured bacterium
Lineage: Bacteria
Description: partial 16S ribosomal RNA
Rfam family: Bacterial small subunit ribosomal RNA
Source: RNAcentral